UCCUUUUCCCACUGGUUUUGUGACAGGGUCUGCCCCAAAGCCAGCCCUCUUGUCACAAGCGGGGAAUGUGACCACACAGCAAAGGACGCUCUAUGUGGUCACAAGAGCUGCACGUGUAUCCCUUUACUCAGGCCAGAUGUGUGAGCUGAGCCCACCCACAACCCAGCGUGUGCCCCCUGGGCAAGGCAGCUGCAUUUGGGUCUCUGGAUGCGUGUGACCCUCAGGGGUGUUGAGACCAACAAGAAAAGGCCCAUCAGGGCUCUUUGCCCUUGAGAAGAUGGAAAGGUGGGAUGAGCCAUCCUGCAAAUCCCCUAAGGUGGCGAUGCCCAGAACUGCCCCUCACCAGAGCACCCCCCCACCAGGCUGAAAGUCUGCAUUCAAUGUGGAUUGGCAGAGGUUGGAUCUGUAGCACCUUGCAGCUGAGCAGAUCUUCACCACUCGAAGUGAUUUGGCUCCAACCUCCCCGUGGUGAAAAGCCCCAUCUGAGCCAUGGAGCUCUCCUUUCCACACUGUUCAGGGGAGGCUCUGCAACUCCCCAUGACAGCAUUUGGAGCAGCCCAGCUUCCACAAGGUGUACUGGAGCCAGGAGAAGCUUUCUCAGCAAGAUUAAAUUUGCCAGAAUCAAGAACCCA
Molecule: non-coding RNA, 632 nt
Organism: Taeniopygia guttata (zebra finch)
Lineage: Eukaryota; Metazoa; Chordata; Aves; Passeriformes; Estrildidae
Source: RefSeq, a predicted model, not a curated record